Molecule: microRNA, 24 nt
Filed under: Gossypium raimondii (Peruvian cotton)
Lineage: Eukaryota; Viridiplantae; Streptophyta; Magnoliopsida; Malvales; Malvaceae
Description: gra-miR8675b
Source: miRBase by way of RNAcentral
AGGUGAUGAUGUGGUACAAUCUCA